GAGGGUAUAGCUCAGGGGUAGAGCACAUGCUUAGCAUGCACGAAGUCCUGGGUUUAAUGCUCAGUACCUCUG
This 72-nucleotide transfer RNA is filed under the name Camelus bactrianus (Bactrian camel). It matches the Rfam family "tRNA". Rfam says of the family: Transfer RNA (tRNA) molecules are approximately 80 nucleotides in length. RNAcentral also lists the same sequence under 2 other names. The record is from Rfam by way of RNAcentral. Lineage: Eukaryota; Metazoa; Chordata; Mammalia; Artiodactyla; Camelidae.